AACAGUGUCAGUGCAAAAGUUAGAUACUGGUGCCACACUGGAAGAGGGAGAGGUCUGCAAGAUCAUUCCACCGGACCUACCAGCAUCUAAAAUGCAAGCUGUGUUUCUACCCGCUGUCCUGUUCAUGUGCCUAUGCUCUUUAGGAAGAUGUCAAAUGCACAGUGACGCAUGUGCCCCAGUUACAAUCGAGAAUGCGAUCGUAGUACAGCAGGAGUCCAGUAUGGUGUUAUCCUGCAAUCGUGGUUUCAGACUAGAUACGGGCUGCUCUAAUGGCUCAUGGCCUCUCACACCCAAGUGUGUGCCUAUUAUUAUUGUAAGCUGUGGUAAGCCUGAUGGCGAACAUAUGGAGAUACUUCCAGAUUUGUCUGAGUAUGAUGAUGGAACCACUGUGAGGUACAUAUGCAAGCCACCCUACACCGCAAAACCAAAUGGAGAAUUGACAUGUAUAAAUGGCCAAUGGAAUGGUAAAGUGGAAUGCAUAAUGUCUCGAAGUUCAUGUGUUGCACCUCCAGCGGAAAGUUUUAUAGAAGUCAUUGACAGCGAAGGGCUAGGCCUAGUCUUUCCUCAUGGAACCGUUGUAACUUUCCAGUGCCCACGCUACUAUACUUUUAAUUUAUUUCGGAAUCAAGGAAACAAAUUCCAGAAUGUAUGCCAUUUUGGAAAAUGGCUACAUCCAAUGAGAUGUUUGAAACCCUGCACAGUGACACAAGAGGUCAUGGCUGACAGAAACAUUAUGCUUAAAGUGAGCCGAGAGUACGGUACGAUGUAUAUUGAACAUAGGGACCAUGUAACAUUUUUGUGCAAAUCGGGGACAACAAGUGAUGAUUACAUGAGAUCGAUGUGUGAAGACGGCAGUAUCAAACUUCCUGAAUGUCACUAACACAAUAUUCCGUUGUUUUGUGACUACUGACUGCUAUAAUUCUCUUCUUGUGUAUAGGUUUUACAAACAUAUCUUGUAUCAGUUAAAGAUUACAUUGAUGUAACCACAUCAUAUUCCUAAUUGUUUUAGGACUGAGACUUAUGGCUUCUUGGAGGGGCUUCUCCGUGUGUUUAAAAGUUCAGUAAAAUGUCUUUCUGUUGGGAUUUUACCUGCACAGGAAAAACAAGUAAAA
Molecule: long non-coding RNA, 1112 nt
Organism: Sardina pilchardus (European sardine)
Lineage: Eukaryota; Metazoa; Chordata; Actinopteri; Clupeiformes; Clupeidae
Exons: 6
Source: RefSeq, a predicted model, not a curated record